RNAcentral lists this ribosomal RNA (1006 nucleotides) under Peribacillus simplex. Its description in RNAcentral is "bacterial SSU rRNA". It matches the Rfam family "Bacterial small subunit ribosomal RNA", at positions 281 to 1259 of the family's 1533-position model. The record is from RNAcentral. Lineage: Bacteria; Bacillati; Bacillota; Bacilli; Caryophanales; Bacillaceae.
GCGUAGCCGACCUGAGAGGGUGAUCGGCCACACUGGGACUGAGACACGGCCCAGACUCCUACGGGAGGCAGCAGUAGGGAAUCUUCCGCAAUGGACGAAAUUCUGACGGAGCAACGCCGCGUGAACGAAGAAGGCCUUCGGGUCGUAAAGUUCUGUUGUUAGGGAAGAACCAAGUUCCCAGAGUACCUGCUGGUACCUUGAACGGUACCUAACCCAGAAAAGCACGGCUACUUACGUGGCCAGCAGCCGCGGUAAUACGUAGGUGGCAAGCGUUGUCCGGAAUUAUUGGGCGUAAAGCGCGCGCAGGGUGGUUCCUUAAAGUCUGAAUGUGAAAAGCCACGGCUCAACCGUGGAAGGUCAUGGAAAACUGGGGAACUGAGUGCAGAAGAGAAAAGUGGAAUUCCAAAGGUAGCGGUGAAAUGCGUAGAGAUUUGGAGGAACACCAGUGGCGAAGGCGACUUUCUGGUCUGUAACUGACACUGAGGCGCGAAAGCGUGGGGAGCAAACAGGAUUAGAUACCCUGGUAGUCCACGCCGUAAACGAUGAGUGCUAAGUGUUAGAGGGUUUCCGCCCUUUAGUGCUGCAGCUAACGCAUUAAGCACUCCCGCCUGGGGAGGUACGGGCCGCAAAGGGCUGAAACUCAAAAGGAAUUGAACGGGGGCCCGCACAAGCGGUGGAGCAUGUGGUUUAAUUUCCGAAAGCAACGCGGAAGAACCUUUACCAGGUCUUGACAUCCUCUGACAACCCUAGAGAUAGGGCUUUCCCCUUCGGGGGACAGAGUGACAGGUGGUGCAUGGUUGUCGUCAGCUCGUGUCGUGAGAUGUUGGGUUAAGUCCCGCAACGAGCGCAACCCUUGAUCUUAGUUGCCAGCAUUCAGUUGGGCACUCUAAGGUGACUGCCGGUGACAAACCGGAGGAAGGUGGGGAUGACGUCAAAUCAUCAUGCCCCUUAUGACCUGGGCUACACACGUGCUACAAUGGAUGGUACAAAGGGCUGCAAACCUGCG